Molecule: ribosomal RNA, 274 nt
Filed under: uncultured bacterium
Lineage: Bacteria
Description: partial 16S ribosomal RNA
Rfam family: Bacterial small subunit ribosomal RNA
Source: RNAcentral
AUACGGAGGGUGCGAGCGUUGUUCGGAAUUAUUGGGCGUAAAGAGCAUGUAGGCGGUCUGUUAAGUCUGGUGUGAAAGCCCGGGGCUCAACCCCGGAAGUGCAUUGGAUACUGGCAGACUUGAGUAUGGGAGAGGAAAGCGGAAUUCCGAGUGUAGGAGUGAAAUCCGUAGAUAUUCGGAGGAACACCAGUGGCAAAGGCGGCUUUCUGGACCAAUACUGACGCUGAGAUGCGAAAGCGUGGGGAGCAAACAGGAUUAGAUACCCCAGUAGUCC